This 503-nucleotide ribosomal RNA is filed under the name uncultured bacterium. RNAcentral describes it as "partial 16S ribosomal RNA". It matches the Rfam family "Bacterial small subunit ribosomal RNA", at positions 30 to 523 of the family's 1533-position model. The record is from RNAcentral.
AUUGAACGCUGGCGGCAGGCUUAACACAUGCAAGUCGAGCGGGGUGAUGGUGCUUGCACUAUCACUUAGCGGCGGACGGGUGAGUAAUGCUUAGGAAUCUGCCUAUUAGUGGGGGACAACAUCUCGAAAGGGAUGCUAAUACCGCAUACGUCCUACGGGAGAAAGCAGGGGAUCACUUGUGACCUUGCGCUAAUAGAUGAGCCUAAGUCGGAUUAGCUAGUUGGUGGGGUAAAGGCCUACCAAGGCGACGAUCUGUAGCGGGUCUGAGAGGAUGAUCCGCCACACUGGGACUGAAACACGGCCCAGACUCCUACGGGAGGCAGCAGUGGGGAAUAUUGAACAAUGGGGGGAACCCUGAUUCAGCCAUGCCGCGUGUGUGAAGAAGGCCUUAUGGUUGUAAAGCACUUUAAGCGAGGAGGAGGCUCUUUUGGUUAAUACCCAAGAUGAGUGGACGUUACUCGCAGAAUAAGCACCGGCUAACUCUGUGCCAGCAGCCGCCGUAA